RNAcentral lists this non-coding RNA (154 nucleotides) under Gasterosteus aculeatus (three-spined stickleback). RNAcentral describes it as "Eukaryotic large subunit ribosomal RNA". It matches the Rfam family "Eukaryotic large subunit ribosomal RNA", at positions 3007 to 3161 of the family's 3401-position model. The record is from Rfam by way of RNAcentral. Lineage: Eukaryota; Metazoa; Chordata; Actinopteri; Perciformes; Gasterosteidae.
GUUGUUGCAAUAGUAAUCCUGCUCAGUACGAGAGGAACCGCAGGUUCAGACAUUUGGUGUAUUUGCUUGGCUGAGGAGCCAAUAGUCCGAAGCUACCAUCUGUGGUAUUAUGACUGAAUGCUUCUAAGUCAGAAUCCUGCCCAGAUGUAACAAU